Molecule: unclassified non-coding RNA, 345 nt
Filed under: soil metagenome
Description: partial contains 5.8S ribosomal RNA, internal transcribed spacer 2, and large subunit ribosomal RNA
Rfam family: 5.8S ribosomal RNA (bases 1-120)
Source: RNAcentral
GAUGAAGAACGCAGCGAAAUGCGAUACGUAAUGUGAAUUGCAGAAUUCAGUGAAUCAUCGAGUCUUUGAACGCACAUUGCGCCCCCUGAUAUUCCGGGGGGCAUGCCAGUCCGAGCGUCAUUGCUGCCCUCAAGCACGGCUUGUGUGUUGGGCCUCCGUCCUCCUCCCGGGGGACGGGCCCGAAAGGCAGCGGCGGCACCGCGUCCGGUCCUCGAGCGUAUGGGGCUUCGUCACCCGCUCUUGUAGGCCCGGCCGGCGCUUGCCGACACAUCAAUCUUUUUUCCAGGUUGACCUCGGAUCAGGUAGGGAUACCCGCUGAACUUAAGCAUAUCAAUAAGCGGAGGA